UGGGGAAUAUUGCACAAUGGGCGGAAGCCUGAUGCAGCGACGCCGCGUGAGGGAUGACGGCCUUCGGGUUGUAAACCUCUUUCAGUAGGGACGAAGCGUAAGUGACGGUACCUGCAGAAGAAGCACCGGCUAACUACGUGCCAGCAGCCGCGGUAAUACGUAGGGUGCGAGCGUUGUCCGGAAUUACUGGGCGUAAAGAGCUCGUAGGCGGUUUGUCACGUCGUCUGUGAAAUCCUAGGGCUUAACCCUGGACGUGCAGGCGAUACGGGCUGACUUGAGUACUACAGGGGAGACUGGAAUUUCUGGUGUAGCGGUGGAAUGCACAGAUAUCAGGAAGAACACCGAUGGCGAAUGCAGGUCUCUGGGUAGUAACUGACGCUGAGGAGCGAAAGCAUGGGUAGCGAACAGG
RNAcentral lists this ribosomal RNA (409 nucleotides) under Verrucomicrobiota bacterium. RNAcentral's name for it is "Verrucomicrobia bacterium partial 16S ribosomal RNA". It matches the Rfam family "Bacterial small subunit ribosomal RNA", at positions 355 to 776 of the family's 1533-position model. Lineage: Bacteria; Pseudomonadati; Verrucomicrobiota. The record is from RNAcentral.